UUAGACAGUUUGCCAACUUGUAUGUCGCGGCAAUUCCAGGAAGACCGAGCCAACACUCAACGCAUACCAAUUUUAGCCCAACUGUACCUGUGCCAGAAAAAUCUGCUUAAAAAAUGGCUAGAAAAUUGGCCUGUGUCUUAGGCUGUGUGGACAAGAAAAUGGCUAGAAUCAAGUCAUUUCUUUCACCCUUUUCAGGCAUAAGCCUAAGUACUCUUGCACACAUGACAAGGAUUCUAAACAUGUUCAAAACCUACAUAAAAAGGUCCAUACAAUAGGCUAAUAAUCCAUACAACCAAUAUGCCAUAUAGACACCUCAAGCACAUACAUCAAACAUACCUAAACAUGUGCAUAUUAAACCAUUUAUCAACUAACUUGUUUCCAUACCAAAACAUAUCACAAUUGGCACAUAUCAACCAUACCAUAUUAGAUUCAUGCCAUAUCAAAAUAACCUUGUCAUUUGGAUCAUUUCUCACAUUCAUCAAAAACCAUCUAAAUGACACAAAUCUAGCCAUUUCCAAAUGGUUCCAACAACCAACAUAUAUACAAACAAUAUUUUAAUCAUGUACAUUUAUUCAAAACCUUUCCAAAGCAUACCAUAACUUGACCAUGUUGAGGUCAAUUCAUCACCUACCAUUUUGGCCAUUCAAACAUGUAUUUACACAUUGUUAAAAUAACACACAUCAAAAAGGCAUCAAAAUUACCAAGAUUACAUUAAUCAAAAUGACAUAUUCAUGUCAAACUCAUUAACUAACAUAAACCACAAGUCCACCUAUAAUGCCAUUAUAACCUUGAUCAAGACAUCAAAAACUACCGAUAUAAUCGUUGGAUAGUGAGAUAGAUCUUCAACGAGCUUCCAAACCAGUCGAGCUUCCGGUAAUCUGUAAAAUAAAGAAAAAAUAACUACGUAAGCAAUGAAUGCUUAGUAAGCUCAUAUAAACUUUAAACAUAAUAUUUCUUUUUUAAUAAUGAACUUUUUGGGGGUAAUUAUAAACCUAUACCAACUUCAAAAAUUUUAUCAAACUUUAAAACCAUCAACUCAUAAAUGAGUAAGUUCAUCAAUAUCACAUAUAUUUUUUAUUCCUAACAUAAUAGGAUUUUAUAAGACUUUGAACCCUUCCAUUUACUUACUUUCCAUUGCAUUUACUUACUUUAGCUUAAAUAACAACAUUAAUUCAUUAAUUAGUAUAUUUGUUCAUGAAUUAGGUAUAUUCAUCCAUAGCAUAUAUAAAUUUCUCACAUAUAAGUACAUCAUUCAACUCAUCAUUCCCUCUUCAUCAUAUUACAUUUCAACUAUGAACUUACCAUUUCAUUACAUUUCCUCACUCGUUUCAUAUGCAUAACACACAAGACAUAAGCAUAACAUCAACUAUGGCCACAAGCUAGUGCAUUUAAACAUAGCUAUUUUGGAACCAACUUCAAGAUAAACCAUUUAAUAAGAAAUUACAUCCUUUGAUCAUUACCACCUUUUCAUCAACAUAAGUAUAUUUUCAUUUGGACACUUACCAUUCUAAUGCAUAAUUUUAAAAGUAAACAUAAUAUAAUCCAACCAAUAGUUUGGCACAAGCCUAAGCAUUAUCAACAUUACAUGUUAGUACAUCAAUUCAUAAUUCACUUGAAUUAAGAUAAGAUAAGUCAUUGAUCAUGAAUAACCUUACUUGAAAUCAUCAAUUUCAUGAACAUAGACAUACUUUAAUUUAACAUUCUCUUUUCAUUCAUUUCCAUAGUUUUCAUGAUAUAAGUCAUUUGAGUGCAUACCUUUCCUUCCCUUUUCAUGCCCAUUGAACUACUUAGAAUAAUAUCGGAUACAAGGGAAAUCUCACACAAAGUGUGCUAAACAUAUGGUCGAAACCAUUCCUUUUCAUCAUUGCUCACUCGAGCCCUAAAUGGGUCUGCUCACACAAGUUGACGGUCGGAAUGUAGCUAUACAAUGCCGUUCUCACAAGUUGAUGAGUAUCCGUAAAAAAUGUCUGGACUUAGCCAUUGAUAGGACAUGGUAACCUAGGUCUGCUCACACAAGUUGACGGUCGGAAUGUAGCUAUACAAUGCCGUUCUCACAAGUUGAUGAGUAUCCGUAAAAAAUGUCUGGACUUAGCCAUUGAUAGGACAUGGUAACCUAGGUCUGCUCACACAAGUUGACGUUUAAAAUGUAAGCUACACAAUGUUGCUCACACAAGCUGAUGAGUAUCUACAACAAAUUCCAGACCUAAGCCAUCGAUAGGACAUUCAGGACCAGCACCUGAAACAUGAAAACCCUAAUGACAUGUCAUUUGUAUCAUAUAUAUUUCUAAUGUUCAAACGGGGCUCGAUAGUCGUCAAAACGUCGUUGGAUUUCCAUCGUUUCUUUAUAUGAUAAAUUGCAUAAUAAUACAUAACAUAUAUAUAUUGAUUCAUUUACAUUAAAACAACACACUAAACAUUAAAUGUAAUCAACAUUUAAGUGAUUAUAGUUCAUACGAACUUACCUGACUAAAUUACAGAAAUGUCGAAGUAUAGGGGCUAUUUGGUAAUUUCUUCAUUCUCCUCGAUUUUCAACUCGAUCUUGAUCUAAAUUAAUAAUUUCAUUCAUUUUAUUACUUAAGAUAGUAAAAAAAUUUAUUUUAUGCAAUUUAGUCAUUUUUUACAUUUACAAAAUUGUCUCUAACAUUUUACUUUUAUUCAAUUUAGUCCCUCAACCUAAAACAUGCAAAUUAACCAUUAUUAUUGCAAGCCCAUGCCAACUGAAUAUUAAAAGCAUCCAUUUCAGCCCACUUUUGCAAUAAUUUCACAUCAAGUCCUUGAAAUAUUUCUAUUUCAAUAAUUAGUCCCUAAUUGGCAAAUUCAUCAAAAAUCACUUAACAAAAUACUUUUAAAUACCAACCAGCAAUUUAAAUUCAUCAUUUAACAUCUAAAAUCACAAAUUUUCAUCAAUGGAAACAUUCAAACUCUUUAACAAUUUCAAAAACAAAGGUACGAGCUAGCUGGAUCUAGUUGCAACGAUCUCAAAAACAUAAAAAUUAUUAGAAACGAGGCAAAAAUCAAAUACCAAAUUAGCUUGUGAAGUUUCCGAAACCUCAAGGGCUAAAAAUGGUUCCUUUCUCCUUAAAAUCAGUGAAGAAGACAUGAAAAUGAUGAUAAUAACUUUUGUUUUUUAUUUAAUUUAAUUUAAUUUAAUUUAAUUUAAUUUAUCAAAUUACCAUUUUAACCUUGGAUAAUAAUUAAAUAAAACACUAAACCCAUACCCAUAUUUUUCCACUAACUCCUUAAAUGGUUUAAUUACCAUUUAAUUCCCUUUACCAUUACUCAUUAAGCCAUUUAAUCACUCAAAUCUAAUAGUGAUCAAAUUUUACAUCUUUUACAAUUUAGUCCUUUUUAAUUAAUGAACUAUGGAAACAUUAAAAUUUCUUAACGAAACUUUAAUACAACCUUAAUAAAAAUCCGUAAAUAUUUAUAAAAAUAUUUACAUCUCGGUUUAUAAAAACGAGGUUACGAUCCUCAUUUUCUAAAACCACUUGACUUUAGGGUCUUACCACUUGAACUUAAUGAAUCAUUCGAAUACAUAAAUUACCAUAUCAAAAACAUUUUUAAAAAUCAUAUUUGACUCGUAAAUAUUUUGUAAAUAAUAUUUACGAACUUACUCGUCGAAUUUGUGUCCUCGAAACCAUUGUUUCCAGCACCACUAAAAAAUGGGUUGUUAUAAACUAUCAAUGGCACCUUGGCGUGCUAGAUAUUGUAGUUUGCCAAAAAUUCAGUUGGCAUGAAUUUUUGAAUUCUUAGAUCAGUGUAUAGCAUUCAUUCAAACUAUAAUACAAAAUUAUAAGUUUUAUUAAGUACCUAAUAUUAAAUUUCAAAUCCUUAGGUAAAUAUUAUAUAAUUUAUAUUUUCAAAAACUAACCUCGACUUUCGAUCAUUGAUCUAACAAUAGGAAAAUAUCUUCGAGCUUGUCUGCUAUAACCACAUGACUCGCCUUAUGUUCCACCUAUUCAAAUAAUAUGUUAUUUCAAAAAUAUAAUAAUGAAAAAAUAUUAUGAUAACUAUAUUAUAAAAUGAAUUUAUCUUAUUACUAGUGGGAAUACAUAAGGGGCGUUUACUCGAGGACAUAAAAAUGGUAAUUGAUACUAUGCCCAUGACUAAAAAAGGAGUAUGCAACCACCAAUUUUAUUUUUUUGUGGUUCCAUCGCCCAACACAUCUUUCGAUACAAUGCUGCCAACAAAGCUAAUCUCCAUCCGAGUCGCCCCACUUCUUUCAAGUCGACUAGUUGUAGUAGUCACCUUAAAUGUACUAGAUUUUGAAAUUUAUCGGGCAUUAGAAUACCCUCGAUUAACCUCAAGAUUAGUGCUUGGGAAUUUUUUUAAACGGCACUGGUGGAGUUGUCGAUAUAAUUGAAAUUGUAUUCUAAUCAUUUCUUCUUUAUUCGACUACCAUUAAAAUUUUUCGGCACUUUGCCUAAUAGUUUGUUACCUCCCCAACCCGGCCUAGACAUUAUGGCCAGAUAGUGAAAGCUACAUUAGUCACCGCAAUGACUAAGUAACCCUACAGUCUGUAAAAACCCUAUUUCAACUCACUUUGGAAAAUUGUGGUUGCACUUGAGUUAGUUUGGAAAAUAUAAUUUUGUUAAGUCGUCUAAUCUUAAGUCUUAUUUUUUAUUGGUGAUGAUGACUUUUUUUCUUAAAAGAACUCGUUAUUUCUCGUUUUGUUUUGCAAAAUUUUAUUAUCUAGUAAUGCAGUGGGAUACUCUAUUUGUGACAGAUUUUAAUUAGGUCAAAUAACAUGUAUUUUCUAGUUAACUUAUAAAAUCAUUGUGUUGAGCAAUGCAUGCAUAAACCCAAAUCUAAAACCACAAACCACAACUCAGAACUAAACAUUAGAGUCCAAAAAUUGAAUAAAUACUUAUUAAAAAUUAUUAAUAGUAAAAUAGUCCGAAGUCUAUGCUACGUUCACAUGCCGAGUUCGAUCCUAGUCUCGAUCAUUACCUGAGAAGUUAAGACUAGGGGUGAGCUUAAAAUAGCUCACUAUAAGUCAAUAACAGUAUAAUCAUACAAUCAUUCACACGGGCAAAAAUCAUCAUUUUCAUUACAGUACGAUACGUGACAUAUUUCAAUAAUCCUAAGAACAUGUCAUUAGCAUGAUGCAAUAAAAAAUGAUUCUUACCCAUCCAUCCGCUACACACCAUGAGUUUCCCAGAACUUGUUUGCCAAUCACCAAUACAAUAGUGCAAAUAUACUACCAAUAAAUAUGCAAACAAGUUACCAAUAAAGGUAAAUACAAUUAAACUGCCAAUAAUGCGAUAAAUUUGCCAAUCUCCUCGGUACUCGAUGUAGUGCACUAAAAACAAUAAUACAAACUUUAACUAUAGUCGGUACUCCACGGAUCUCCUCCAUCAACCACAAUAACUCAUCCCAUGCACAUGUGAUAUAACAUGCAAUCAUUAAGCAAAAUCAUGCUUUCAAUUUGGUUUCAGUACAAUGCCAUGUCUUACAUGCUUACGGUACCAUAAUCAAUUCAAUGGCAUGGUUAACAUGCUUACGGUAACAUAAUCAAUUCAAUGGCAUGCUUAACAUGCUUAAGGUAACAUAAUCAAUUCAAUUGAAAGCUUAUCAUACUUAUGGUAACAUAUUUAGUAUAUGGAUUGCAAGCAUUUAGUCAGUCGAUACAAUGGGAUCACAACCAGACAUAGUUAUUAUGCAAUCAAACAAUAACUCAAUGAGUCGCAUGCUAUACAGGUCCUCAAUCAAACAAAGUUAAAACCCACACAUUAAAAUAGCAAGUCCGCAAUACUAAUCCAUAAAGCUUUUGCUUCCACCCUUAAACCUUAAACGUGACUAAAAAAAUUACAAUAUUUAACAUAUUAAAAUAAUGUUAAAAAAACUUUAAACACCUUCCAAAUGGUUCGACCAAAUCAAUGUUACACCCACCAAUUUCUAGAGAAAUUCGGCAAGGAAAAUUACACUGAUUUAAUGCAAAAUGAGGGCACGAAUGGAAUCCGACUUCAUUGUUGAUCCGGGAUGUUCAAAUUAGUUUCUACAACCAAAAUAUUAUUGAAAAUAAGUAAUUUAAAACCAAUUACGAGCCCUAAAAAAUCAGCCAUAGCAUCCUCUAUUAACGAAAACAAUACUAUGUAGUUAUUCGCACCAAUCGCACUUACGCUUUCCGUUUUACUAAAUCCGAGUUGCCAAACGAAUGGGAUCAGAAACACUUAUAAAGGACAAGACCGAAGGCUGAUUAGAAUACAGGAACAACGAAUUAAACUUGCUGAAGAGUGGCAGAAAAGAGAAGAAAAAUGGCAGCCCCAUAAUAAUGAUUCAAGGGACGGCAUACCACCACAAUUGGCACAAUAAGGGGCUAUUUUUGUUCAGCACCAAAAAGGGAAUUUAAGGGCUGGUUAGGGAUUGUUUUUAGACUUGAAAAAAAAGGAAAAAAGGCUGGAAAUGGAGCAUAAAACAUCAAUUAAUGGCUCGAUAUGACAACCAACAAAGGGGAUCUAAGGGCAACAGAUACCACCAACGGCGGUAGCUCUAAGGCUAGUUUGGGGUAGUUUAAAAGGGGUGUUUAAGGGUUGAUUUGAACAACAACAAAAAAACAUGAGAUCUCAACAAAACAAUAGCUUAAAAUCCACAACAAAGGAAAUAAGACGAAGGAGAGAAAGAAUGGCACUUACACUGAGAAGAGAAUGAGCAGCACAAUAGAGUUUUUUGGGGGUAGCACAGUGAAGGAGAAAUGAAGCAAAAACGAGAGAAUUUGAGAGAAGGAAAAGGAUUGGAUGGAUACAGCAAAAGAAAAGAUGAAAAAAAGGCUAAAAAAUGGUUGAAAAUGUUACAUUUAUACUUACAUUAACUAGGCUGGGUGGCACAAAAAUAGGAGAGGAAAAUAGAAAAAAUUUAGUCAUUUUGUAAGGGAAAGGAAACAAACUCGGGUAUCUAAUCCAACUACACUCGGUCCUUAUUUUCUCUUCACCUUU
This 6935-nucleotide long non-coding RNA is filed under the name Gossypium barbadense (sea-island cotton). RNAcentral's name for it is "long non-coding RNA (GBAR_LNC016994)". Lineage: Eukaryota; Viridiplantae; Streptophyta; Magnoliopsida; Malvales; Malvaceae. The record is from RNAcentral.